This 21-nucleotide non-coding RNA is filed under the name Arabidopsis thaliana (thale cress). The record is from RNAcentral. Lineage: Eukaryota; Viridiplantae; Streptophyta; Magnoliopsida; Brassicales; Brassicaceae.
UCAUUUCAGUCUCUGGAUCCG